RNAcentral lists this transfer RNA (67 nucleotides) under Ophiogomphus cecilia. Its description in RNAcentral is "tRNA-Phe". It matches the Rfam family "tRNA". From Rfam's summary of the family: Transfer RNA (tRNA) molecules are approximately 80 nucleotides in length. Their secondary structure includes four short double-helical elements and three loops (D, anti-codon, and T loops). Lineage: Eukaryota; Metazoa; Arthropoda; Insecta; Odonata; Gomphidae. The record is from RNAcentral.
ACUCAGAUAGCUUAAGUAAUAAAGCGUGACAUUGAAGCUGUUAAAAUGGUAAUUUUACCUUUGAGUA